Pelodiscus sinensis (Chinese soft-shelled turtle) is the source of this 403-nucleotide non-coding RNA. The record is from RefSeq and is a predicted model, not a curated record. NCBI's taxonomy places the organism in Eukaryota, Metazoa, Chordata, Testudines, Trionychidae.
ACAGCCGCCCAUGUAGAGUCUUGUGUGUCUGUGCCCCAUCUCAGCAGGGGGGGCCGGCCCGGUGGUGGAGGUGGAGCUCGGGGAGACGGCCAGGAUCAAAUGCAACGUCUCUUCCCCUGGAGAGAGCAACUACGACGAAAUCAACUGGUUCUACAUCGACAGACAAAUCCCGAAACGAGUCUUCCAGGAGGACACGGAGUACAAGGGCCGGGUGGAGAUGGAGGACUUUACCCUGGUCAUCAGGAGGGUGACGCUGCAGGACACCAGGACCUUCAAGUGCCAGGUGAAGGCGGGCAGCUCGGUAGUGGCCGAGAUGCAGACCCAGCUCCACGUUUACAAAACCCCGGAGCCUCCAGAGAUUCAGGUGAACGACGCAGGCAUCUCUGUGACGAGUCACGAGCUU